GACGAACGCUGGCGGCGUGCUUAACACAUGCAAGUCGAACGGAAAGGCCCUGCUUUUGUGGGGUGCUCGAGUGGCGAACGGGUGAGUAACACGUGAGUAACCUGCCCUUGACUUUGGGAUAACUUCAGGAAACUGGGGCUAAUACCGGAUAGGAGCUCCUGCUGCAUGGUGGGGGUUGGAAAGUUUCGGCGGUUGGGGAUGGACUCGCGGCUUAUCAGCUUGUUGGUGGGGUAGUGGCUUACCAAGGCUUUGACGGGUAGCCGGCCUGAGAGGGUGACCGGCCACAUUGGGACUGAGAUACGGCCCAGACUCCUACGGGGGGCAGCAGUGGGGAAUAUUGCACAAUGGGCGGAAGCCUGAUGCAGCAACGCCGCGUGCGGGAUGACGGCCUUCGGGUUGUAAACCGCUUUCGCCUGUGACGAAGCGUGAGUGACGGUAAUGGGUAAAGAAGCACCGGCUAACUACGUGC
Molecule: ribosomal RNA, 469 nt
Filed under: uncultured bacterium
Lineage: Bacteria
Description: partial 16S ribosomal RNA
Rfam family: Bacterial small subunit ribosomal RNA
Source: RNAcentral